GCAAGCGUUGUUCGGAAUCACUGGGCGUAAAGGGCGUGUAGGCGGUCCGCUAAGUCUGAUGUGAAAGCCCGAGGCUUACCCUCGGAAGUGCAUUGGAGACUGGCGGACUGGAGUCCCGGAGAGGAGGGUGGAAUUCCUGGUGUAGCGGUGAAAUGCGUAGAUAUCAGGAGGAACACCGGUGGCGAAGGCGGCCCUCUGGACGGUGACUGACGCUGAGACGCGAAAGCGUGGGGAGCAAACAGG
This 243-nucleotide ribosomal RNA is filed under the name uncultured bacterium. RNAcentral's name for it is "partial 16S ribosomal RNA". It matches the Rfam family "Bacterial small subunit ribosomal RNA", at positions 534 to 776 of the family's 1533-position model. The record is from RNAcentral.